This is a long non-coding RNA of Homo sapiens (human), 538 nucleotides long. Lineage: Eukaryota; Metazoa; Chordata; Mammalia; Primates; Hominidae. The record is from Ensembl.
CACUGCCACUUUCACCAUCCCAUAUCCACGCUUCGCAGAGACACCUGCAAAAACACUUGCAAUGCAAGACUCAGCCACAACUGAGCCUCAGAGUGUGACAUCUAGGGGACACCUUGACAAAGAACCACAGGAGAAACCAAAGAGAUCCAACAUUCCGCUGCUGCCAGGUGUUGAGGAAAUGCACACACCCUCAUGAGAGAGACACAAACCAUCACAGAGCAUCAGAAGUGGAUGAAACUUCUUGGCCUGGAGAAUUAAAAAAAAAAAAAAAAGAAAGAAAGGAAAGCACUGUGAGACUUUUGCCCCAUCACAGAUUGAAGGAAAAGGUGAAAAAAACAGAAUGUAGAAGUCAUAAAACUGCAGAGGCCUAUUAUCUAAACAUCUGACAUGACAUUGCCCCAUCUUAUAACUGAAGUUCUCAAGACUGAGUGAAAAAAUCAAGAAAGAACAUGUGUUCUGAGAUAGCAUCAAUAGUAUGUUCUUUCUGUAAAUAAAGCACAUUAAUGUACUGAAUAAGAUGGAUUUCAAAAUUUGGUAA